This 1206-nucleotide long non-coding RNA is filed under the name Zonotrichia albicollis (white-throated sparrow). Its description in RNAcentral is "lncRNA (ENSZALG00000008955.1)". The record is from RNAcentral. Lineage: Eukaryota; Metazoa; Chordata; Aves; Passeriformes; Passerellidae.
CUUCAACAGCUAAGAGGAAUUGCUUUAAAUGAAAUGAAUUAUUUUGAUUUUAGGAACUCUGUUGGACGCUAAAACAAUAGACUCAGUAGCUCAAUAGCAAAAAUAAUUAAAAUGAGUGUCAUCUACAGAGACCUUUUAUUCAGAGAUGAAGGUUAUUUUCCUCUCUCUGCAUUCAGCUGCGCCAGUGGGGCGGAGGAGCCCACGGCGGUCGCCAGGCUGUGCAUGGGGGAAACAGCCACCACGAGAUCCUGCAGCUGCUGUGGCAGAGCCUGCUGCCCAUCACUUGGAAAUAUUGCAGCGCUACCCAAGUAGAUGGGCAUUCCUAUCCAGAACCAAGGCAGAUACUGUGGCCUUUGCAAAAUCUGCCUUCUCAAAUCAGUUGUAUUUCCAAGAAGAAUUGUAUUUUCAACUCAGAUAUCUGUCCCAUCUGCACGUACCUGACUAUGUUCAAUUAGCAACUUUGACUUUGGCUGUCAGUCUUGAGUUUUUAUUCUUUAGAGCCAGAAAGGAAUCAAACUAUGAAACUUCAGAACUGCGCAUCACAAGGACUCCUCUAAACCAAUUGCUGCAGUUUUGAGAUGGAACUGUAGGGAAGACAUUGAGCCAUGGACUCUAUGGACAACGACUAUGGUUAUACACUGGAAGCAACGGGAAAGAAAGAUUCUCUUUGGUUUCACUGGAAUUCUGGACUCACCAGAUUGUACUCUACAGUUGCUCAAGUCAAAAGAAGGGUGUUACUAAAAUGUGAGUCUCAAGAUGUUUGGAUACUGCUGUCCUCAUGAACUUCUGUGAAGCUAAACCAUACAUUAAUUUUACUAUGUCACGUUAGCAUUCACGUCUGCCUUUCUCUCAUUUUGUGUUUAUUGCUGUCAGUCACAAAUGGAGGUAAAACUCAGAAUUAAGGAUAGUUGCCAAGAGUUAAUACUGAAGUGCUGUGCCAAAUGUGAAACACACCUUUCUCUCAUAGAUAUGCUGUUUCAGCAUUGCUGAAGGGUGGUGGUGUUGGGGUUUUGGUUUGCCUAAGUAUAUCUGUAUGUGUGGGUGUGUGUGCGCAUUUACAAACAGAGGCUCAAAAUAGACCUGGGUGAGCCAAACAUAUCUUUAUUAAUUUGAUUGAAUCAUAUGGCAGCACAUGGAUUUACACUUGGGGUAUCCAGUAGAAGAGCACUGACCAAAUAAAAGCCUUCCAACUGAAGACUAACUGCA